Molecule: long non-coding RNA, 897 nt
Organism: Saccostrea echinata
Lineage: Eukaryota; Metazoa; Mollusca; Bivalvia; Ostreida; Ostreidae
Exons: 3
Source: RefSeq, a predicted model, not a curated record
GCUCACAAAUUAUAUUUAUUACACUUAUCUAUCAUGUAUACUAUAGGAAAAUUCAAAGGGUCUGUAAGUCUCGUUGACUUUCACUUUCGUUUUAUAACUCCCGGGUACCUGAGCGUUCUUGGAGACAAUGGAUUACUUAAGUUGUAAGCAUCGCAGUGGAAUUAUUAAACUUGUAGUUUGUUUUGAUCCCCGAUUGUUGCAAAGAAGAGGAGAAAGUGGAUUGAUAGAUGCAGGGCUGCACAAGGUACUGAAAAAGGGACAGUGCUUUGAGUGAAUGUGUUAUCCAGUUAUCCAUGUAUCUGCAAAUGAAGCAGAUCCCCCAGUUAUACUCAUGGAGAGUGUGACAACUUCCAACUUCCAAGUUGUUAAUGACAGAACUCCAUUUAAAUCAGAUGCUCCUUUCCAUCUGAUGUUUUCCAGGUUUUUGUGAAAAGUUUUCUUAAAAAUUGCACCAUUCAACCACAAAUACUAUGCCAGUGGAACUGUGAUAUCAAUCAACUGCUUAUGACACUGUUAAUUGGCAGAGAAAUUAUUUUUUUUUAUUUGGGACAAGCAAUCUGUUUCAAACAUUUUAUGCCUGCAAAUUGGUACAUGUACUUCAUGAAAUGCUUGAAGGAUGCUAAAGGCUACUGAAAUUCCAAGCCAGAUGAAAUUCAAAAGGAUUGAUACAAAAGUCAUUUGAAGUUUUCUAUUCUUAGUGAUGAGUGUUUUUCAGGAUGCCCUCUGAUAUCAUAGCUACAACUGGUCACUGUCCUUUGUUAGUUACACAUGCAGACAUCUUAUUAAGGCAGUGAUAUUAGUAGCUCGAAGUGAAUGCUUUAUUGUUUUCCUCAGAUUUAUAACCUGGAUUGAUCUCUGAUACAGUAAUUUAAAGCCAUGUCUUUUCACUGUCACAAA